CGGCAACAGCUCAAAUUUGAAAUCUGGCGCUUUCAGCGUCCGAGUUGUAAUUUGUAGAGGAUGUUUCGGCCACGACCCCGGGUUAAAUUUCUUGGAACAGAAUGUCAGAGAGGGUGAGAACCCCGUCCUGACUCGGGCGUACGAGCCGUGUGAAACUCCUUCGACGAGUCGAGUUGUUUGGGAAUGCAGCUCAAAAUGGGUGGUAAAUUUCAUCUAAAGCUAAAUAUUGGCCAGAGACCGAUAGCGCACAAGUAGAGUGAUCGAAAGAUGAAAAGCACUUUGAAAAGAGAGUUAAACAGUAUGUGAAAUUGUUGAAAGGGAAGCGCUUACAACCAGACUUGAGCGCGGCGGUUCCCCCUGGCUUCUGCCUGGGCUAUUCCGUCGUGUCCAGGCCAACAUCGGUUCUGAGGGUCGGUUAAAGGCUCCAGGAAUGUAUCUACCCCUCGGGGUCGACUUAUAGCCUGGGGUGUCAUGCGACCUCCCGGGACCGAGGAACGCGCUUCGGCUCGGAUGUUGGCGUAAUGGUUGUCAGCGACCCGUCUUGAAACACGGACCAAGGAGUCUAACAUCUAUGCGAGUGUUAGGGUGUCAAACCCUUGCGCGGAAUGAAAGUGAACGGAGGUAGGAAGCCUUUAGGCCGCACUAUCGACCGAUCCUGAAGUUUACGGAUGGAUUUGAGUAAGAGCAUAGCUGUUGGGACCCGAAAGAUGGUGAACUAUGCGUGAAUAGGGUGAAGCCAGAGGAAACUCUGGUGGAGGCUCGCAGCGGUUCUGACGUGCAAAUCGAUCGUCAAAUUUGCGUAUAGGGCGAAAGACUAAUCGA
This 822-nucleotide ribosomal RNA is filed under the name Chaetothyrium agathis. RNAcentral describes it as "eukaryotic LSU rRNA". It matches the Rfam family "Eukaryotic large subunit ribosomal RNA", at positions 99 to 938 of the family's 3401-position model. The record is from RNAcentral. Lineage: Eukaryota; Fungi; Ascomycota; Eurotiomycetes; Chaetothyriales; Chaetothyriaceae.